This is a long non-coding RNA of Cavia porcellus (domestic guinea pig), 1637 nucleotides long. RefSeq lists it as uncharacterized. NCBI's taxonomy places the organism in Eukaryota, Metazoa, Chordata, Mammalia, Rodentia, Caviidae. The transcript is spliced from 2 exons. The record is from RefSeq and is a predicted model, not a curated record.
UGAUGCAGGCUCAAUCUUGUCAACCUCUAAGCAAAACUGUCUGGAGAGGAAGCCGGAAGAGAGCGGAGGAACGAAUUCUCCACGGAAUAUACCUCACCGCAGUUCAACCGCGAGGCGCAUCCUCCAUCUCAGCGCCCUCGAACUUUGAAAAGGCUCCCCCAACUCCCUUUCAGGGAGCUUCUGAGAAAGGCUUGCACGCAAUCCAAGUCAACGGAAAAGCAUACCUAGCCGCCACACCCUGGGACCUGGUGGAGAAAUGCAGAGACAGAGACGUGGAACGGCCAAUGGAAGCCCAUCCUAGCAGGCCUGCCUUGGGCGCAUCUCUUUAAACAGGAGCCUGCCUUGAACUCUACAGAUGGUUAUCUUACAGUCUUGAGAGAAGCUGGACAGGCAUAAAAUCAUUUGUCUAUUUCUUCCUGUCUGUCACCCAUGGUGUUUGUCUUUUGGCUUCCUGCUCAGAACAGGAAAUUGCAAAAAUAGAGAUUUGAUCAGUUCCCAUUACUCUAGUGAGCCUCGUUAGUUUAACUAGACCAGCGGUGCAUUUAAUUCUCCCCUGAAGUUAUACAAAUUGUCAGAAGAGUCUAGUCUUGUUUAGCAUUUAAUUAUCUCUUAAUUUCCCAGCCGCUGAGUUCUCAUGGGUAGUGAGCCUGCGUCUGAAAAUUGUCUCAAAGUAAAAAUAGGCAGCACGUUGGAGACAGUUUCCAUUACUCAUUGACCUAGAAAAAUCCCCUCUGGGUAGCUCGGUCCCAAGCAGGUCUACAGGCUUCUAGGCCAGCUGUGCCUGUCAAAGGGGGGGGGGCAGGAGAUGUUGGUACUCAGAGCACCAUUUAGUGACUGUAAGCUUUGAUGCAGGGUUUUAUCUGCUCCUCACCGAUCCUGAGGAGCUGGUACCAAACCGUUUUACAGAUGGGAAGGGGACUGUAAAGGGCUCAGGCUGGAGCUGAAGAUAAUGGACAUUUGGGGGUAACCCCAAGGGCUAGACAGAGAGCAAGUGACUGACCCCGUCUCUUCCCCUUCCCCUCCACCCAUGCUGGUCAUAGGCAAUGGAGUAGAAAGGAAGGAUAGUUUGUUGGGAGGGCUUAACAUCGAGACGGUAGCCACGCUGAGCCUGACUGUCUAACCCGUACUGUGUGUGACAUCAGAAGCAGCCUGGAGAUCACUCUGAAGCUUAGUGCUCCCAUCUCCAAAUGUCCGAGUCACUCACACUCCUCUGUGGGAGUGCCUGAGAAGGUUUUAGAUGAAGAUUUAGGAAAACCAAGAAUGAUUGACACCUGGAGUAAUACUGUUUAGGACAGAACUAAGAAUUGUAAGCUAGUAGCCAAAGUUAGAGAAUGUUAAGAAAAAAGGGAUGUACCUGUUUUCACAAAUCCUCAUUUACACUAGGGAGUCUGAGGCAAGAGGAUCCCAAGCUUAAGGGAAACUUAAUGAGACCCUGUCUCAAAAAUUUAAUAAAAGGGGGAGAGACUGCAGAUGUAGUGGAGUUGCAGAAUGGCUCUGUGCUAGUGGGUUCAGUCCUUGGUACUAAAAAAAGCAGCUGGCGUUUCCAUAGUGAGACUGAGUAAAUAAGAGUACAAAAAAACAAUGUUUUUACAGCGAAAUGAGAAUGUUCUAAAUAAAACUGGCCGUGAUUUUUCAUG